This is a long non-coding RNA of Cygnus olor (mute swan), 2074 nucleotides long. RefSeq lists it as uncharacterized. Lineage: Eukaryota; Metazoa; Chordata; Aves; Anseriformes; Anatidae. The transcript is spliced from 9 exons. The record is from RefSeq and is a predicted model, not a curated record.
GAGGCGGCGAGGAGCCGGCCGGCAGGUGCGUGCCCCGGUUCCCCUCAGCGCCGUGCCCUGUGGGGGCUGCCCCCGCCUGCAGCCUUCCCCUCAGCUCGUCGCUGAAGCCGGGUGUUACCGGCCCUGCCGUGAGCCUCGGUGCGAGCGACCUGUCCCCACGCCCCGGCUUGCCGAGUUUGAUUUCUUCCGUAAUUACUCGAGAUAUAAUAGUUGUUUGGAAGUUCAGAGCUCUAAACUGCUCCACCAGGCAUCUCUGUGUCAUCCAGGUCUACAGUCUUUCAGACUUAGAAGCAUGCUACUGCUGUGUUUGAGGAAGCAUUAGAAUGUGUCACCCAAUACCCGCAAGUCUGAAAUACGAGAAGAUUGCAUCAGGAUAUUUUUGGCAGGGUCUCAGCUCAAGAAAACUCCUGAACCACUACUGCUAUGUCCCAUGCAGACUAACCUAGACACUCCUUAGCUGCAAGAUGUGUACCACCUGCUGAGAUACAGUAAGUUGAAAUAUUGGGUGAAUAAAUGAGCUAUGUUGCUGUAUGAGAUACGUUUGAUGGAAAGAAAGAGUGUUUAAAAACACAGUGCAGCCUGAAAGGAGAGACAAAAUCAGAAUCACGGUAUGGAUCCUGAGGACAGAAGUUACAGCGACAAGUCCUGAAAUGAGCCUUCUAUUUUUUCAUGACACUGGUUUGGUCCUCUGACUGCUCAAGUAGACUUAAGGAUUCUCAAUCAUCUUCACAAGAACAGAAAGGAGGGUGGAAAAGGAAGGCAAAGAAGAGAAGAUUUAUUUAGAAGCUCCAUCAUUCUGCAGCCCACAGAAGGCUUCAUGAAUGCACAGUACCAAUAUUUCAGAAUCUAUACCCUCUACAUAUGACUGCUUGCCAUUAUCUUUACCACAACAUUAGCUCUGAUGUGUCCAAAAAUCUCUAGGGUAAAGAAAUGACUUAUGAAUGAAUUACCUGAAGCAAAUCAUCAAGAAAAUAAAUUUAAACAUCACAAUCUGACAUUCUAUUUCAUUAACAUUCUGGGGGAAAAAACAUAACAAAAAAAGAACAUUUGUCAAGUUUUCAUGUCCACGUGCAACACUUCUUAUGCCAUAACACAUAUUGAAGUUGAAAACAGAGCCUUGUGUGGAUAUCAGUGAACACGGAAUUCCAGUCAUAUGGAUUUAUUCCGAGCACCAUAGUACCUGGUCCUGUGAAGUGAGACACUCACCAACAAAAUAUCAUGGAAUUUUGUUAGCAAUCACAGAAAGUCAAAGACAGGAUCUGUCUCUAUGUUUGAAAAGUACCUGGAGUAUUUUUGUCUCUAAGCUUAAUAAAUAAAAAUGGAUGUGUUUAGCGAUUCGGCCUGUUUGCAGCUUCCAGGUCUUCAGACGGCCAGAAUUUGCAGAUCCUAUAUGAUUGUCAUUCAUGUAUUCCCAGUGUAUUCAAAGACCACCUGGCUAGAUGCAUGAAAUGUAGUUUUAUUUGCAAUCAUGAUGGUUAAGAGAAAUCUUAUAGAUUCUUGAACUGUAAGGAUGUUACAGGUCUUUCUGGAUAUUCUAAGCAGUUUCUAAAACUAUUUUGCUUUGAUUCAUUUGGAGAAAAAUAGAAGACGGAAAAAAGAUUCAGAGAAGUGUUAAGGUUACUACUAACACCUUCUCAGACAUAUUUAAAUGGGAAGCAGAUUGUAGAUCUGUUUAUCUCAAGGAGAAACACAUUCCUAAGGGUUUCCAUGAGUCUGAAAGGGCUGUGCUGGUGAAGAAUUGAGAAAAAGACCUAACAAUCUGCUGCCUUGCAACUGCAGAUCCAGUUGAAGUGGGAGCUGCUGUCAGCUUCUGCCAAAGAUAGAGAAGUCUACUGCUUUAUCUUUAACUUCCAGAUCUUGCAGAAGACAUUGAAAUUCCCAGAAGAGACAUCUGAUACGAAUCACUUGGAACAGUCUGUUAUAUCCAUUUGGAAACUUACAGGUACAGGUUUGCACAGGAGAACAUAUGAAUGUUUAACAUGGAAAACUUCAAACCCACAAUGGUUCUUAGUGGAAUUAAUUCCAGAAGAUCCAAGAAUGACUAAUGUCAGUUGGCUCUUACCUGUUUUUAUUU